CCUACGGGAGGCAGCAGUAGGGAAUAUUGCUCAAUGGGGGAAACCCUGAAGCAGCCACGCCGCGUGGAGGAUGAAGGUUUUAGGAUUGUAAAAUCCUUUUGUUCGAGGCGUUCCUGCCGGUCUCUAACGAAUAAGCACCGUAGAACUCCGUGCCAGCAGCCGCGGUAAUACGGAGGGUGCAAGCGUUACACGGCCUCACCGGGCGUACAGCGCGCGUCGACGGGAUAGCAAGUCCGUUGUGAAAUCCUCUGGCUUAACCAUAGAACUGCAUUUGACACUGUCAUUCUAGAGUAUGGGAGAGGUAGGUGGAAUUCGUGGUGUAGGGGUAAAAUGCGUAGAGAUCAAGAGGAAUACUCAUUGCGAAGGCGACCUGCUAGAACGUAACUGACGUUGAUGCGCGAAAGCGUGGGGAGCAAACAGGAUUAGAUACCCCGGUAGUC
RNAcentral lists this ribosomal RNA (440 nucleotides) under uncultured bacterium. RNAcentral describes it as "partial 16S ribosomal RNA". It matches the Rfam family "Bacterial small subunit ribosomal RNA", at positions 338 to 795 of the family's 1533-position model. The record is from RNAcentral.